Molecule: ribosomal RNA, 305 nt
Filed under: uncultured bacterium
Lineage: Bacteria
Description: bacterial SSU rRNA
Rfam family: Bacterial small subunit ribosomal RNA
Source: RNAcentral
UUCACCUACGGGGGGCAGCAGUGAGGAAUAUUGGUCAAUGGGCUUACGCCUGAACCAGCCAAGUCGCGUGAGGGAAGACUGCCCUAUGGGUUGUAAACCUCUUUUGUCAGGGAGCAAUUGGCGCUACGUGUAGCGUUAUCGAGAGUACCUGAAGAAAAAGCAUCGGCUAACUCCGUGCCAGCAGCCGCGGUAAUACGGAGGAUGCGAGCGUUAUCCGGAUUUAUUGGGUUUAAAGGGUGCGUAGGCGGGCUUUUAAGUCAGCGGUAAAAAUUCGGGGCUCAACCCCGUCCGGCCGUUGAAACUGG